RNAcentral lists this ribosomal RNA (304 nucleotides) under uncultured bacterium. RNAcentral describes it as "partial 16S ribosomal RNA". It matches the Rfam family "Bacterial small subunit ribosomal RNA", at positions 506 to 807 of the family's 1533-position model. The record is from RNAcentral.
CAGCAGCAGCCACGGUAAUACGAAGGGUGCAAGCGUUAAUCGGAAUUACUGGGCGUAAAGCGUGCGUAGGCGGUUUGUUAAGUCUGUUGUGAAAUCCCCGGGCUCAACCUGGGAAUGGCAGUGGAUACUGGCUCGCUAGAGUGUGUCAGAGGAUGGUGGAAUUCCCGGUGUAGCGGUGAAAUGCGUAGAGAUCGGGAGGAACAUCAGUGGCGAAGGCGGCCAUCUGGGACAACACUGACGCUGAGGCACGAAAGCGUGGGGAGCAAACAGGAUUAGAUACCCCCGUAGUCCCUGUCUCUUAUAC